Molecule: ribosomal RNA, 322 nt
Filed under: uncultured eukaryote
Lineage: Eukaryota
Description: partial 18S ribosomal RNA
Rfam family: Eukaryotic small subunit ribosomal RNA
Source: RNAcentral
CCCUUAGAUGUCCUGGGCCGCACGCGCGCUACACUGACAUGUUCAACAAGUCUCUCCUAGUUCGACAGGACUGGGAAAUCUUUGAACGCAUGUCGUGAUAGGGAUAGAUCAUUGCAAUUAUUGAUCUUGAACGAGGAAUUCCUAGUAAACGCGAGUCAUCAGCUCGCAUUGAUUACGUCCCUGCCCUUUGUACACACCGCCCGUCGCACCUACCGAUUGAAUGUUUCGGUGAAGAUUCCGGAUAGGACUGAUUUGAUUUAUUUCAUUUCUGACCUAAAAGCUAUCUAAACCUCAACAUUUAGAGGAAGGUGAAGUCGUAACA